ACAAGAAGCGUUUGUUUAAUGAAUGACGGACACAUUUAAGAUCUGUUUAGAUGCUGAGGUUAAUCCUGUGAAUUGCUAAUACAGUUCACUAGGUUUGGCACUUAGUGUUGACUUCAGUAUGCUGAGAUGAAAACCAACAUGCCUAGAGCUAAAGCUCUAUAACAUUGAUGAGUUUGAGAGCAUUCGAAAGGACCUGGAGACCCGUAAGAAACAGAAAGAAGAUGUGGAAGUCAUAGGAGGCAGUGAUGGAGAAGGAGCCAUUGGUCUCAGCAGUGAUCUGAAGAGUCUGGAACAAACGAUCAAUGAUUGGAUUGGUUAUCAACCCCAACCCAAGCCCAAUAAUCAUUCAUCUCAAUUUGGAAGUCUUGAAUUUUAAAGGUGGAUUAUCUUGCAUGCCAGAGCUGUGGAAUGGAAUAAAAUGAUGGCAGAAGUACAAACCAGAUUUAGAGAAUUGAGUGCUUGCAGUCAAGCAGAAUGUCAAAGAUAAAUGCUUCUGCAUGAGAUUACUGAUGCUUAACUUGCACUCUAAGCUGGAAUCCAAACUCUGGUUUGUCUCUGGAAAAUUUGAUUCUGUAAAACUGAUCUGAUUUUUUGCUUUUAAAAAUAAAUAUAUUUUUG
Cebus imitator (Panamanian white-faced capuchin) is the source of this 618-nucleotide RNA transcript. It is a transcript of the gene named anaphase-promoting complex subunit CDC26-like, with no coding region annotated. The transcript has a single exon. The record is from RefSeq and is a predicted model, not a curated record. Lineage: Eukaryota; Metazoa; Chordata; Mammalia; Primates; Cebidae.